Molecule: long non-coding RNA, 498 nt
Organism: Harmonia axyridis
Lineage: Eukaryota; Metazoa; Arthropoda; Insecta; Coleoptera; Coccinellidae
Exons: 3
Source: RefSeq, a predicted model, not a curated record
GACCGUCUCUCUCUCCGAAAGUCUUUGUCUAGUGACCUGAAGCCUGUUUUCAGUCUAGGCAUCUUGCUCUAGCCGAUUCGUCAAUUAUUUUCGUUGUCUUUUUCAGAUGCGAAUUUUUCCUCUUUGUCUUUGAAAUUUCCCGGUUUGAAGAGACUUGAAUUGAUAUCUCUCGGCACAUUCAUUUCUUCGUAGGCUGUGGUUCAUGUACAGCCGUCCUGAAAGUAGAUAAUAAGCGAGAUGGGUUCUCAAUUCAUGACGGGAGGUAGAAAUGAAACAAUGUUUUCGCAAAAAAGAGAGUGGUUUGGGUAUUCGAUAGGAAAAGGAUCAUCGCAUUCCUAUCUACGCCACUGGAACAUUUUGGCAAGAGACACUUACCUAAUUCGAAACAUUAGGAAAAAUCUGUGGCGUAUCAUCAAUGUCUGCCAAAAUAGGCAGUCAAAUUACGUACGAACGCCAAUGGUGGAAAUUAAAAAAAAAGGUGAUACAUUAAAAAAUGCC